AUUUAUAUAGUUUAAAAAAAACAUUACAUUUUCACUGUAAAAACAAUUUAUUAAUU
RNAcentral lists this transfer RNA (56 nucleotides) under Pseudoneureclipsis achim. RNAcentral describes it as "tRNA-Glu". Lineage: Eukaryota; Metazoa; Arthropoda; Insecta; Trichoptera; Polycentropodidae. The record is from RNAcentral.